UGGGGAAUAUUGGGGCAAUGGGCGAAAGCCUGACCCAGCAACGCCGCGUGAGGGAAGAAGGGUUUCGGCUCGUAAACCUCUGUCCUAUGGGACGAAAGAGAUGACGGUACCAUAGGAGGAAGCCCCGGCUAACUACGUGCCAGCAGCCGCGGUAAUACGUAGGGGGCGAGCGUUGUCCGGAAUGAUUGGGCGUAAAGGGCGCGUAGGCGGCCCGUUAAGUCUGGAGUGAAAGUCCUGCUUUCAAGGUGGGAAUUGCUUUGGAUACUGAUGGGCUGGAGUGCAGGAGAGGAAAGCGGAAUUACCGGUGUAGCGGUGAAAUGCAUAGAUAUCGCGCAGAACUCCGAUUGCGAAGGCAGCCUUCCAUGUCGUAACUGACGCUGAGGCACGAAAGCGUGGGGAUCGAACAGGAUUAGAUACCCUGGUAGU
This 426-nucleotide ribosomal RNA is filed under the name uncultured bacterium. RNAcentral describes it as "bacterial SSU rRNA". It matches the Rfam family "Bacterial small subunit ribosomal RNA", at positions 355 to 794 of the family's 1533-position model. The record is from RNAcentral.